RNAcentral lists this ribosomal RNA (471 nucleotides) under uncultured bacterium. Its description in RNAcentral is "bacterial SSU rRNA". It matches the Rfam family "Bacterial small subunit ribosomal RNA", at positions 30 to 490 of the family's 1533-position model. The record is from RNAcentral.
AUUGAACGCUGGCGGCAGGCCUAACACAUGCAAGUCGAGCGGUAGAGAGGUGCUUGCAUCUCUUGAGAGCGGCGGACGGGUGAGUAAUGCCUAGGAAUCUGCCUAGUGGUGGGGGAUAACGUUCGGAAACGGACGCUAAUACCGCAUACGUCCUACGGGAGAAAGCGGGGGAUCUUCGGACCUCGCGCCAUUAGAUGAGCCUAGGUCGGAUUAGCUAGUUGGUGAGGUAAUGGCUCACCAAGGCGACGAUCCGUAACUGGUCUGAGAGGAUGAUCAGUCACACUGGAACUGAGACACGGUCCAGACUCCUACGGGAGGCAGCAGUGGGGAAUAUUGGACAAUGGGCGAAAGACCUGAUCCAGCCAUGCCGCGUGUGUGAAGAAGGUCUUCGGAUUGUAAAGCACUUUAAGUUGGGAGGAAGGGUAGUAACCUAAUACGUUGCUACUUUGUACGUUACCGUACACGAAUAAG